GACGAACGCUGGCGGCGUGCCUAAUACAUGCAAGUAGAACGCUGAAGAGAGGAGCUUGCUCUUCUUGGAUGAGUUGCGAACGGGUGAGUAACGCGUAGGUAACCUGCCUUGUAGCGGGGGAUAACUAUUGGAAACGAUAGCUAAUACCGCAUAACAAUGGAUGACACAUGUCAUUUAUUUGAAAGGGGCAAUUGCUCCACUACAAGAUGGACCUGCGUUGUAUUAGCUAGUAGGUGAGGUAAUGGCUCACCUAGGCGACGAUACAUAGCCGACCUGAGAGGGUGAUCGGCCACACUGGGACUGAGAAACGGCCCAGACUCCUACGGGAGGCAGCAGUAGGGAAGCUUCGGCAAUGGGGGCAACCCUGACCGAGCAACGCCGCGUGAGUGAAGAAGAUUUUCGGAUCGUAAAGCUCUGUUGUAAGUCAAGAACGGGUGUGAGAGUGGAAAGUUCACACUGUGACGGUAGCUUACCAGAAAGGGACGGCUAACUACGUG
Molecule: ribosomal RNA, 497 nt
Filed under: uncultured bacterium
Lineage: Bacteria
Description: partial 16S ribosomal RNA
Rfam family: Bacterial small subunit ribosomal RNA
Source: RNAcentral